This 460-nucleotide ribosomal RNA is filed under the name uncultured bacterium. RNAcentral describes it as "partial 16S ribosomal RNA". It matches the Rfam family "Bacterial small subunit ribosomal RNA", at positions 338 to 795 of the family's 1533-position model. The record is from RNAcentral.
CCUACGGGUGGCAGCAGUGAGGAAUAUUGGUCAAUGGACGCAAGUCUGAACCAGCCAUGCCGCGUGCAGGAAGACGGCUCUAUGAGUUGUAAACUGCUUUUAUAUGGGAAUAAAGUGCAGUAUGUAUACUGCUUUGCAUGUACCUUAUGAAUAAGGAUCGGCUAACUCCGUGCCAGCAGCCGCGGUAAUACGGAGGAUUCGAGCGUUAUCCGGAUUUAUUGGGUUUAAAGGGAGCGUAGGCGGGUUGUUAAGUCAGUUGUGAAAGUUUGCGGCUCAACCGUAAAAUUGCAGUUGAUACUGGCAUCCUUGAGUACAGUAGAGGUAGGCGGAAUUCGUGGUGUAGCGGUGAAAUGCUUAGAUAUCACGAAGAACUCCGAUUGCGAAGGCAGCCUGCUGGACUGUAACUGACGCUGAUGCUCGAAAGUGUGGGUAUCAAACAGGAUUAGAUACCCCAGUAGUC